CAGCCGCCGCGGGAAUACGAAGGGUGCAAGCGUUAACCGGAAUUACUGGGCGUAAAGCGUGCGUAGGCGGUGAGUUAAGUCUGCUGUGAAAUCCCCGGGCUCAACCUGGGAAUGGCAGUGGAUACUGGCUCGCUAGAGUGUGUCAGAGGAUGGUGGAAUUCCCGGUGUAGCGGUGAAAUGCGUAGAGAUCGGGAGGAACAUCAGUGGCGAAGGCGGCCAUCUGGGACAACACUGACGCUGAGGCACGAAAGCGUGGGGAGCAAACAGGAUUAGAUACCCCCGUAGUCCCUGUCUCUUAUAC
This 301-nucleotide ribosomal RNA is filed under the name uncultured bacterium. RNAcentral's name for it is "partial 16S ribosomal RNA". It matches the Rfam family "Bacterial small subunit ribosomal RNA", at positions 509 to 807 of the family's 1533-position model. The record is from RNAcentral.